RNAcentral lists this ribosomal RNA (809 nucleotides) under uncultured bacterium. RNAcentral's name for it is "bacterial SSU rRNA". It matches the Rfam family "Bacterial small subunit ribosomal RNA", at positions 62 to 834 of the family's 1533-position model. The record is from RNAcentral.
UCGAACGAGUUCUCGUUGAUGAUCGGUGCUUGCACUGAGAUUCAACAUGCGAACGAGUGGCGGACGGGUGAGUAACACGUGGGUAACCUGCCCUUAAGUGGGGGAUAACAUUUGGAAACAGAUGCUAAUACCGCAUAGAUCCAAGAACCGCAUGGUUCUUGGCUGAAAGAUGGCGUAAGCUAUCGCUUUUGGAUGGACCCGCGGCGUAUUAGCUAGUUGGUGAGGUAAUGGCUCACCAAGGCGAUGAUACGUAGCCGAACUGAGAGGUUGAUCGGCCACAUUGGGACUGAGACACGGCCCAAACUCCUACGGGAGGCAGCAGUAGGGAAUCUUCCACAAUGGACGCAAGUCUGAUGGAGCAACGCCGCGUGAGUGAAGAAGGCUUUCGGGUCGUAAAACUCUGUUGUUGGAGAAGAAUGGUCGGCAGAGUAACUGUUGUCGGCGUGACGGUAUCCAACCAGAAAGCCACGGCUAACUACGUGCCAGCAGCCGCGGUAAUACGUAAGUGGCAAGCGUUAUCCGGAUUUAUUGGGCGUAAAGCGAGCGCAGGCGGUUUUUUAAGUCUGAUGUGAAAGCCCUCGGCUUAACCGAGGAAGCGCAUCGGAAACUGGGAAACUUGAGUGCAGAAGAGGACAGUGGAACUCCAUGUGUAGCGGUGAAAUGCGUAGAUAUAUGGAAGAACACCAGUGGCGAAGGCGGCUGUCUGGUCUGUAACUGACGCUGAGGCUCGAAAGCAUGGGUAGCGAACAGGAUUAGAUACCCUGGUAGUCCAUGCCGUAAACGAUGAAUGCUAGGUGUUGGAGGGUUUC